This 5433-nucleotide long non-coding RNA is filed under the name Coffea arabica (coffee). RNAcentral describes it as "long non-coding RNA (CARA_LNC005566)". Lineage: Eukaryota; Viridiplantae; Streptophyta; Magnoliopsida; Gentianales; Rubiaceae. The record is from RNAcentral.
AUCCAUCACCUACAUUGCCACCCACCGCCAUCACCUCCACUUCCACUCUCCUUCCUUUCCCUUUUUCUUUCUUCUUCCUCCUCCUCCCUCUUUCACCAUUUGUAACAAAGAACACCCUUUAUCAUUACUUACCUUUCCUUACAUUAUUUAUCAUUAUUUACCCUUUAUCGGUCAAGAGCACGAAACUAACCUUUCAUUGGAUGAUCGAUGGACAGUAUAUGCACAGGACUCACGAAACUAACCCACAAGAAAAACGGCAGCAAAGCAGAAAUUCAACUAGACAGGAUUAUUGCUCUGAUGCAGAAAGGUCAAGAGCCAGGACUGAAAAAACGAGGGCGCAAAUUACUAACCUCAGUUCUGAUUGUCCGCCUAUUCAGGAAAGGACCAAGAGGGAAAGGAAACCCAGUGAUAUUGAAGUAGAACCUUCCGCCACUGCUACCACUCGUGCUGCUGAUGGCUUUUCCGGAAGCAACUACCAAAUUGACAUUCUUGAUUACUUUGGGUUUUAAUUGAAAAGAUAAGCCAUUUAAAGGUGACCCACCAAGGAAAGCAGUAGUGUUUGAUUCUCCUGAAGAUGAAUGAUUUGGCAAUAAAGUGGACUUCGGCGAGGUCAAAUUGAUGCCUGCCACCAUUUUCAAAUAAAAUUUCCUCCCACGCUCCCACUCCCCAAAUUAGUGCCAAAUUAGCGUCAGUUCAGGUGAGGCAACGCAAGAGUUGCAAAUCUAAAUUGUGGCCGGAUACAGAGUAAGGAAGGAAAAAGCUUCGGAUAACAAACUUGAAAGAGGGCCAGAGGUUUUUCAGCUAAGAAGAAAUGGGAAAAACGAACGAAGUAAAAACAAGAAAGCAGAGGAGGAGCUGCGGAGGAAUUGGAAAACAGAGGAGGAAGAAAAGAGGUCUAGACGAAGGACGAGAGAAAGAGGGGAAAGAGCAUCGGCGCAUCUCUUUUGCCGCUGCUGUUCGUUUUUGCGCUCACCGCCACUGAAGCCGCCGCCGCUCGAAGGAAGCCGCCAUCACCUCCCCAGAAUCCUCCAUCACCGUCGUCUGCAAAUCUUCAAUCGAACAGAUGUGGUAAGUCCUCUUUCCCCUUCAACCGAACAAAUUCUGUUUUCUCCUCAAGCUUAGACCUAUAAGAAUCUCAAAACCGAGAUUAGCUUAUUGUGAUUUGUAUGUUGAUUGUACGCAAUUUUGUGUAUACAUGCUUUCUGUGUUGUUUGGGAUUGAAUGUCUUUAUGUUUCUUACCAAUUCUUGGGCUGAUUAACUUCAAAUUGAACAAAAGAAUCGGUGAAAUUUCUUAUGCUCAUUUGGUGUUCGACGAAAUGCCUAGCUAAAAGUUCUUAUUGAAAGAUGCUUUAUUUGCAAUUUUUUUUCUUUCCUCGUGGAAAAAAUCGGUUAAGUUGGUCAAUUCGCUUCCUCACGUUUGAGAAAUUUUGAUGCAUUGCUGUCUUCCGUUUUUCCGUCUCUCAUGAUUAUGUAAAAGCUUCAAGGAAAAGGCUGUGCAGACAAAUUUGCCCCUCAAAAAGUUGAUUUCCAUCUCUCCUAACGGCACAAAUACACGGAGUGACCAAAACGAUAUAGAUUUACUAGUUCAGUGACAUUUCGCGCUAAUAAAAAAGUUUAGUGACCAGAACCGGCACUUUGAAAUAGUUUAGUGACAUUUCGCGCAAUUCGCUCUAUUUAUGAUAGCUGUCUAAAUUUUUGAGUCGAGAUCCUCUGUCUAAUAUUUUGUGUCCACUUUCGUGUCCAGUGCAAAUCUACGUAGUUCCACUUAUUAUAUACUCCCUCCCUUUUUUAUAACUGACGUUUAAGAAAUUUGCUCUUAAGUACUUUUAUCUGUCGUUUUAUUAUCCCCAUGCAGCAUUAAUUAUUUUUUCACAAUUUUACCCUUUUAUCUCUCUUUUCCAAUACAGGGUUCUUAAUUACUACUUUUAGUUAAUUUGCAUUGCUUUUGGCCUAGUAAAACAGCACCAUUUAGUACUCUAGUGAGAGAAAAUAUGGAUGAAUUGGACAAUUAAUGAGGGUACAAAAGGAAAGUAGUGUAUAGAUUUAAACAAUGAAAAUCUUUUCUUAAUUGAUGUGCAAAACCUUAAACGUCAGUUAUAAAAAAAGGGAGGGAGUAUGCUGAUGUGACACAUAAAAAAGAAAAGUUGUUUGGCUGCCUUAUGCUACUUCUUUUCUUUUGGAUUUCCUUUGUUUACACAACUUUGUUACAAUUCCCAAAACCCUAUUGCUAUCGUAUGUUUUAACCCAAAACUUGUUACCACUGUUUUUUGUCUAGAAGACAAAGGAAGUUCUUCAACAAAACAAUUUUUUGGGAACCUUAUUAUUAAGCCAAACAAUUUUUUUCCCUUUGUUUUAGCAUAAGGCAGCCAAACAACUUUUUUUUUUAUGUGUCACAUCAACAGAUAUAACAAGUGAAACUACAUAAUUUUGCACUGGACAAAAAAGUGAACACAAAAUAUUAGACAGAGGAUCCAGCUCCUAAAUUUUUAGACUUUGAAUGCACAUGUUUUAAGAGAUGAGUUGGUUAGAUUUCGGUUUAAACACAUAUAAAACAAUUUAUAUUUUUGAAAUUGAUAUCGACAUAAAGGAAUUUAAGACCAAAAAAAAUUGGUUCGGGAAACACGAAAACAAGAAUAUGAUCAUAUAGCACUUCUUUCAUAAUUCAGGCCAAAGAAUGACGAUAUAUUAAAGAGUUCUACAAGUAAUGUUUGAUAACUUAUAUAUUCUAUUCUCGUGUUUGAUGUAGAUCUUUUGAGUUGGAAAGUCGUUUCCCUCGUAAACCUCAUUCUAACUUUUUCCUAAAACCUUCAUUCCUCACAAAAUUCUAAAAAAAAGUUCCGAAUAGCCCAAAAUCAUUGAGGUUAAGUUUAUCCUCAUACAUCUCUUUACACUAUUACCAAAUAUUAGGCAACAAUACUUACCUAGUCCAAUACUACUUGAUAAUGAUAUGAUGGGUAGACAACUUUGCUUUCUAACAAAAUUCAGAAGUUGGUCAAUUAAGCGAGCAUAUAUAGCUUUUGAAAGAAAAAUGUGAUCAUGAGAACAUUUUACUAUGUUUUGAGGAAUUUGAAGGCAUAUUUCGGAAAGUUACUAAGGUCAUUUAUAGUUAUUCAAAUGUGGACUUAUCCAACGCGGUAGUAAAACGUCAACCAACUCAAGUCUAGUACCAGUGUCUUUUGAGGGUGCCGCUCGAUGCCUGCAGAUGGUAAACAAAUCCAGAUUAAGAGCAGACUUUUUUUCUCGGGAGAAGAAUUUGACUGCCCUCCCAACAGAAAAUGUUUUAAAACUGCGUCAUUACAACUAAGUAUGCAAAUUAAUCUUAAACAAUUCUUUGUAAUCAUGCAUUAAGAGAAACACAGUUCAAACAGCAUUAACAUGUAUUAUUCUCAUAUCAACCAUUUGAGGAUUAAUCUUUCCCGGCCGUCAUCCAAAUAUUAUACUCGUUUGUGCUAUACUUUACUACAUCACAUAUCCCAGCGUCAAACCAAGUGAGUCUAAGCAGAGGACAGCAAUCUCCUCUUCUACAUGGUCAAGUAUUAGCAUACAGUUUAAGCAUCAAUUCAAUAAUCAUCAACAAGGAGACAAAUGCAACGAUAAUGCUGUCUUCCAAUCUUUCAAUACCAUUAUCUGGAGCACUUGAUCAGUAAUUGCAAGUGACCAAAGCACCAGAAGUGAAGAAUGCGACUAACCUGUUGGACCUAUUAGAUACAAAAUUCAUGAUCUUUAUUUACUGGAAUUCAGAGUAAAAAGUGAAACUGGAACAAAGGCAGCAAGCAGUCAACUCUAUCAACUUGAUUUCAACGGUGCCAAGGCCGAUCAAAAGAUGUUCUCAAUGGUUAUGUCUUUCUAACUUGAUGCGUAUGCUAAUACUGCCUAAAAGUACUUCUAUCUGCAUUUACACUGGUUUAUUGCUUUUUUCCUUGGUAACACAUUCAAAGUUCGACACUAUCAGUAUGCAGAUCCUCAUGUCUCUAUAGCCAAACCCUGGAAAUGCAGAUCCAAUGUCCCCAAACAACCUGGCAUAGAAUGAUGAGACCAGCAUCCUAAUGAUCAAAAAUGAAAUGAAACUGAUACUAAGGGUACCUGUUUAUGCCACCUAGCCGCAGCAUACAGGUUGAACUUUCGUCACUUUCCAGCUAAAAGAUACGCAAAAAAUGAACUCAUGUGCAGAAGUAAAUGUUCAAUAACUAAAUUUUACCUCAAAAGCACUGUAUCUUUUCAGUGACAAGAAGCAUCAAGUUCAAAUGUUCUGAAUUGGCACGUGAAAAAAUUUUAGAACUUCAGAGUAGAUGUUUAAUGUGCCUUAGAAAAUGACUGAAGCAAAAGUGGGACAUGAUCAGUGUCACCACGUGCAUUAAUAAAAUCAAAUACCAAGCCUCAUGAUGUAUCUAGAUUCUGCUGUCUAAAAACCUAUUUGAAACAUUCUUCGCUUCUAGAUUAAAACCCCAAAACAGAAGAUAAGAGUUAUUCACGAGUAUCAGAAAACAACAAAACAAAUUUGCAGAACUUUCAUUCUCUGUAGAUUCAUCAGUUCCACAAGUCAGAAUACGCCAUUCAAUUUUGAUACUAACUGCACCUGGUAGAAAGAGGAAAAUGACAAGAAGAAACAGUCCCAAAUUAACAUUCUUCUGUAUGUUGAUACCAAAACUAUUAUGUUGCAGCCAUAGACCUCAAACAGUUUUAAGUUCUUAAUUGUAAUUUUGCAGCUCAAAAGAUGCUAAUGUUAGCAACAAGCUAUUAAUUUAAUCCAAUUAAUGUGUUCCUAUCUGUGGAUAAAAUGACGCCAGAAUUUACCUUCAAGAUUGACCGGGAACAUUCUGAAGUAGACAUCUAGCAUUGUGCAAAACAGCAUUAGUCUCCUCAUUUGAGGCAUCAAGCAACUGUAGUUCCUGAAUCUCCUCCUCCCACUUAGCCAUCUGUUCCUUGUGGAUUCUGUAGACAAACAUGCUUCAAGAAAAAAAAUUUUGCUACAACCUGAUCUUGAAAGCCUAACACCUAUUUUUUAAAUGACUCACAGAAAUAAUCUUUUUUCAAAUUCUUUACUAAGAUCCUCCAGCAUUGACUUCCCUGAUUCCAGCAGCUCAGACACCUUCAUCAAGUAAAAACGAAAUUCAGCACAGAAUUUAUAUUCAAACAAACUGAAACCAAGGCCAGCAUAAUCACUUGCAAUCAAGGAAGGUUUAUCUUUCAAACUUUCACUUCUAGAAUUACAUAAUGCCUAAGCGAAUAGGACUGUUUUCCUUUAUAUAUUUUUCUGGCUCUUUUGAAUUUUGGACUCCCCGCAUUUUACUUUGCUCCUCAACUGAUUUUUUUUUUUCAUGAAAAGACAGGGUAGAGCAAAGCUACCAGCUGAGUAAAGCGAUUAAUCUUCUCAUGAAUGUGAGCAAUCUCCACCAGCAUUUGCUCAGAGCCAACAAUGGUGUUGCCCUCAC